Molecule: ribosomal RNA, 526 nt
Filed under: uncultured bacterium
Lineage: Bacteria
Description: bacterial SSU rRNA
Rfam family: Bacterial small subunit ribosomal RNA
Source: RNAcentral
CAAGGAAUUUUGCGCAAUGGGCGGAAGCCUGACGCAGCAACGCCGCGUGAGGGAUGAAGGCCUUCGGGUUGUAAACCUCUUUUCUUAGGGACGAAUAAUGACGGUACCUGGGGAAUAAGCUUCGGCUAACUACGUGCCAGCAGCCGCGGUAAUACGUAGGAAGCAAGCGUUAUCCGGAUUUACUGGGCGUAAAGUGGACGUAGGCGGUCUUUCAAGUCGGAUGUGAAAUCUCCUGGCUUAACUGGGAGGGGUCAUCCGAUACUGUGGGACUAGAGGACAGCAGGGGAAGGUGGAAUUCCCGGUGUAGUGGUGAAAUGCGUAGAUAUCGGGAGGAACACCAGUGGCGAAGGCGGCCUUCCAGGCUGUUUCUGACGCUGAGGUCCGAAAGUGUGGGGAGCGAACAGGAUUAGAUACCCUGGUAGUCCACACCGUAAACUAUGGAUACUAGGUAUAGGGAGUUUCGACCCUCUCUGUGCCGAAGCUAACGCUUUAAGUAUCCCGCCUGGGGACUACGGCCGCAAGGUUA